AUGGGGUGGUCGUCCUUGGAGAAGGCGCUUCCUGCGUAUGCACCAUUGAUUGGGUGGUUUGGUCGCGUUAAUUGGUGGGUCGGACUCGAGCGGCACCUGCCGGAGCGUAGGCGACCAGGGCUGCAGGCCAGCAGCCGAGGAGUGAGGGUUGGACAGGGACUCGAGCAGCGCCGGCCGGAGCGCACCAGGCAAGAUCGAGCCGACGAGGGACUGAGGGUGGGGGUCGAGCAGCGGCGGAGGGGCGCCGCAGUGAUCAGGCGGCGCGGAGGACUUGAGGAGAGAUCAGGGCUUUUGGUCAGGGUGUGGCGACAGAUCGAACCUGUAGUCUGCCUUGGAGCAGCUGGUGGUCUCUGUUGGGCAGCUUGGAGCUACUACGCGUGCAAGUCAUGUCUGCGCACCUACGGACGCUACAUGAACGGCGAGACAAGCGGCCCGGUGGUCGGCCGGGAUGACGAGAUCGACAGUGUCGUCUCCAUUCUCUGCUGCAAGACCAAGAAUUGUGUGGCACUCGUCGGAGCCCCAGGGGUGGGCAAGACGGCCAUCGCCGAGGGCCUCGCGCAACGGAUUGCUGCUGGGAAGGUCCCUGCCGAGCUUUCCAAGGCACGUGUCGUGGAGGUUGAUCUGGGGGCCAUGGUGGCCGGCACUGUACUGCGUGUUUGA
RNAcentral lists this ribosomal RNA (660 nucleotides) under Triticum aestivum (bread wheat). Its description in RNAcentral is "partial small subunit ribosomal RNA". The record is from RNAcentral. Lineage: Eukaryota; Viridiplantae; Streptophyta; Magnoliopsida; Poales; Poaceae.